Anopheles coustani is the source of this 181-nucleotide long non-coding RNA. RefSeq lists it as uncharacterized. The record is from RefSeq and is a predicted model, not a curated record. NCBI's taxonomy places the organism in Eukaryota, Metazoa, Arthropoda, Insecta, Diptera, Culicidae. The transcript has 3 exons.
AGUGCUGUGCGGUCGAGUUAUCCUCCAGUAGUCGGAGAGCGCAACAUCUGGAUAAGAUGGUAAUUAUGUGAGAUGCCCUCUUGAAGUUCUUCAUAACACGUUUCUUCUUCCAACGAGUUGGCAGAGAGUACUUUCUUCAAAGAGAAAUUUCAAACAACUUGGCAGAUCACUAAUAUUUUUU